GAUGAACGCUGGCGGCGUGCCUAAUACAUGCAAGUCGAGCGAACAGAUGAGGAGCUUGCUCCUCUGACGUUAGCGGCGGACGGGUGAGUAACACGUGGAUAACCUACCUAUAAGACUGGGAUAACUUCGGGAAACCGGAGCUAAUACCGGAUAAUAUAUUGAACCGCAUGGUUCAAUAGCGAAAGACGGUUUUGCUGUCACUUAUAGAUGGAUCCGCGCCGCAUUAGCUAGUUGGUAAGGUAACGGCUUACCAAGGCAACGAUGCGUAGCCGACCUGAGAGGGUGAUCGGCCACACUGGAACUGAGACACGGUCCAGACUCCUACGGGGGGCAGCAGUAGGGAAUCUUCCGCAAUGGGCGAAAGCCUGACGGAGCAACGCCGCGUGAGUGAUGAAGGUCUUCGGAUCGUAAAACUCUGUUAUUAGGGAAGAACAAAUGUGUAAGUAACUAUGCACGUCUUGACGGUACCUAAUCAGAAAGCCACGGCUAACUACGUG
RNAcentral lists this ribosomal RNA (497 nucleotides) under uncultured bacterium. RNAcentral describes it as "partial 16S ribosomal RNA". It matches the Rfam family "Bacterial small subunit ribosomal RNA", at positions 28 to 507 of the family's 1533-position model. The record is from RNAcentral.